Molecule: long non-coding RNA, 1427 nt
Filed under: Homo sapiens (human)
Lineage: Eukaryota; Metazoa; Chordata; Mammalia; Primates; Hominidae
Description: non-protein coding lnc-OR4F16-8:1
Source: RNAcentral
GAGGCAGGAGUCCGAGGAGGUUAGUUGUGGCAAUAAAAAUGAUUAAGGAUACUAGUAUAAGAGAUCAGGUUCGUCCCUUAGUGUUGUGUAUGGCUAUCAUUUGUUUUGAGGUUAGUUGGAUUAGUCAUUGUUGGGUGGUAAUUAGUCGGUUGUUGAUGAGAUAUUUGGAGGUGGGGAUCAAUAGAGGGGGAAAUAGAAUGAUCAGUACUGCGGCGGGUAGGCCUAGGAUUGUGGGGGCAAUGAAUGAAGUGAACAGAUUUUCGUUCAUUUUGGUUCUCAGGGUUUGUUAUAGUUUUUUAUUUUUAUGGGCUUUGGUGAGGGAGAGGGGGUGCUAUAGGGUAAAUACGGGCCCUAUUUCAAAGAUUUUUAGGGGAAUUAAUUCUAGGACGAUGGGUAAGACGUCUUGUGAUGUAAUUAUUAUACGAAUGGGGGCUUCAACCGGGAGUACUACUCGAUUGUCAACGUCAAGGAGUCGCAGGUCGCAGAGAGGGGGGUAAGAGUCAGAAGCUUAUGUUGUUUAUGCGGGGAAACGCCAUAUCGGGGGCACCGAUUAUUAGGGGAACUAGAUAAAAGGGGAGAUAGGUAGGAGCAGUGUGGUAAGGGCGAUGAGUGUGGGGAGGAAUGGGGUGGGUUUUGUGUGUUCAAACUGUCAUUUUAUUUUUACGUUGUUAGAUAUAGGGAGUAGUGUGAUUGAGGUGGAGUAGAUUAGGCGCAGGUAGAAGUAGAGGUUAAGGAGGGUGAUGAUGGCUAUGAUGGUGGGGAUGAUGAGGCUAUUGUUUUUUGUGAAUUCUUCGAUAAUGGCCCAUUUGGGCAAAAAGCCGGUUAGCGGGGGCAGAGAACUGCUGUUAUUCAUCCUAUGUGGGUAAUUGAGGAGUAUGCUAAGAUUUUGCGUAGUUGGGUUUGGUUUAAUCCACCUCAACUGCCUGCCAUGAUGGAUAAGAUUGAAAGAGUGAGGAGAAGGCUUACGUUUAAUGAGGGAGAAAUUUGGUAUAUGAUUGAGAUGGGGGCUAGUUUUUGUCAUGUGAGAAGGAGCAGGCCGGAUGUCAGAGGGGUGCCUUGGGUAACCUCUGGGACUCAGAAGUGAAAGGGGGCUAUUCCUAGUUUUAUUGCUAUAGCCAUUAUGAUUAUUAAUGAUGAGUAUUGAUUGGUGGUAUUGGUUAUGGUUCAUUGUCCGGAGAGUAUAUUGUUGAAGAGGAUAGCUAUUAGAAGGAUUAUGGAUGCGGUACAGGGAGGUCAGAAGUAGGGUCUUGGUGACAAAAUAUGUUGUGUAGAGUUCAGGGGAGAGUGCGUUAUAUGUUGUUCCUAGGAAGAUUGUAGUGGUGAGGGUGUUUAUUAUAAUAAUGUUUGUGUAUUCGGCUAUGAAGAAUAGGGCGAAGGGGCCUGCGGCGUAUUCGAUGUUGAAGCCUGAGACUAGUUCGGACUCCCUU